Molecule: RNA transcript, 6159 nt
Organism: Platichthys flesus (European flounder)
Lineage: Eukaryota; Metazoa; Chordata; Actinopteri; Pleuronectiformes; Pleuronectidae
Gene name: Transmembrane protein 263-B-like
Exons: 5
Source: RefSeq, a predicted model, not a curated record
CUCUCUCUCUCUCUCUCUCUCUCUCUCUCUCUCUCUCUGUGCAUGCUGGGAGUGUGGAGCGUGAGCGAGUGACGGAACGAGUGCGUUAUAGUUCUUUAUUUAUUUUUAUUUUUUGUAAAUGUUAGAUUUUUUCAUCACAUAGCACAGUGGUUCUCAAAGUGGAGGAUGCUCGGACACUCUCCAGGGGGGGUGCAAUGUCACAGACAAAAAAAAAAAAAACACACACUAAAAAAAGACCGACCACCUGUCAAAGCUCCCUCAGUGGUGAAAUGCUAGGGGCUUGACUGACACAAACAAAUCAAACACUGUUUUGUUCCUGAUCCACCAAUCAAAAGAGGAGUGUUAUCAUUUGAAUGCGAGUUGUUCGUACACUUCCGAGUAUAAAAGUAACUGUAGGCAUGGUCAGCACUCAGCCUCUCUGAGACGACACCCUGCAGAGUUUGUGCAAUUUCUCUUGUUUCCUCUAUAAUUCAGAUAUUCAUUGCUUUAUAAACAGUCUUUUUAAAGACUCACUCCUUCAUUAGUAAUACCUUCCUGCACUUGCAGCAGGCCUAAUCGUAGCCUAAUCUAAGGAGUAAUUUGCUCCACAGUCUUUUUUUGAAAUUUCAUAGCCCCAAGAGCUAGCCUUCUAGCUAGCUAACUAAUUCCAACUGCAGCUAGCCCUUUUCUCCUUAACACCUACCUUUAUAUCUUCAUCCACCGUGUUGCAAUAAAUAAAACACCAGCACUUGAAUACUAUUCUGUUCUGUCCCUGUGUACAUUGUGUACUGUUCGUUUUGUUAGGAACCAUUGCCUAGCACAGCCUUAUUCAUUAUUUGCGUGCAAGUCGCUCACAGCCACACAUACAAACACACUCACAAGACCACAACGUUGCAAUUACAACUUUAUUAACAUCACACACACUGUAUCGGCAAACAAACACAAACAUGGACAAGUUUCUGAUUCGUAAAAGUCAGGCAACCGAUGCGCCAGUUGCGAAGAAGCCAAAGCUUCGCAAAUAUGACGACAGCCAUUUGCAGUUUGGUUUCACCGUUACUGGCUCGACUGACCAACGUCCUCGGUGUGUUUUGUGUGCCAAGCAUAGCACUGUCUCCAAGCUAUCUAUCUAUCUAUCUAUUUAUUGUGGUGAAGUUGAGGGCGGUGGUGGCGGGCGGCGCGGGGGAGAUGGCUACCCCUAACCAGCUUUGGAUGGGCCCAGCUUGCAAAAGUUUGAGAACCCCUGACAUAGCAUUCGAUUCACAGUAGUUUAUUUUCUGAUGGUUUGGGCUUUCUGAUGCGGGUGUCUUUCCCCUCACCAGCGUCUGGCUGGUGGUGUAGCAGCCAUCAUGGUCAGUGGGAAUUUUAAAUCACUAACAUGCAAGCACAGGGUUCAAAUAUGUGUAAGUUUCCCCUGCAGCAUGGAGAGCAUCGGGCUUGGUGUGGCGUGAAAGGUCGGUCAUAGCGGCGUGGUGUCGGCCGCCCCGAUGAACAGCGCGGUGGUCGUGUUCCUGGACCGGGUGGAGAAGGUGAACUCGGUGGUCGAGACAGGUAUCACAGUGAAUGGUUGUUUUGUACAUGUACUGCCUUUGUCCCAACCCACUGCCAAGGUGGUCCUGUCCAAUGUCCCUCCUUUCAUCACCGAUGAGUUCUUCAGUAGAGAUGUAUGGGGGACGGAAGGUAGCGUCCCCCAUACGGAAGCUGUUGUCUGGGUGUAAAUGCCCAAUACUGAAACACGUAGUGUCUCACCGCAGACAGCUGUAUAUGAUACUUAACAACCGUAACAAGGAGCUCAACCUCCGCUUCCAUGUGAAAGUAGAUGAUUACGACCACAGGAUUUUCGCAACGACAUCUGUGAUGAAGUGCUUCAGGUGCGGAGAGGAGGGACACAUGGGGAGAUCCUGUCCCAGCUCCGCCGGGUACUGAUGCGGCUGCGAGUGCUGGGGCGGUAUCGGAGCGACGGGCCUCCGCUGCGCCUCAGGUGCCGGAGCGAAGGAGACCCGCUGCACCGGUCGCCGGGGGGCUGGCCGCCGCAUCCGAUGGCCGACAGCUGCUCCACGGGCUUCUCCGCCAACAUCUCUGCGGAGAAGCGAGGCUGUGACCGAGCCAUCACAAGGGAAGAGUCCAACUCACAGCUCGCCGCCCCCCUCCGGAUGCAGGAGCUGCUGACCGACCUGCAGGGCUUUAACAAGAUGUGACAUCCUCUGCCCCUAACCCUCAAAAAGUGUAAGGAAAAACUACCCAAAAACCCCUAAAAGAAGGAAGAAACCUCAGAGAGAGCCACAUGUGAGGGAUCCCUCUCCCAGGAGGGACAGAAGUGCAAUAGAUGCCAUGUGUAAAGGAGAACAUCAGAAAGAUAAGGGUAUUUGUAGCAUUGAUUAGAAUAAACACUUUGUAGCAUAAUUGAAGGUCAAUGAAUUUAUGAAUUAUUGUGUGUCAUACUCUAUGAUGUACGUUGAGUGAGUGUAUUUGUUCCCAUGUUUGGAUGAGCUUGUCAGGACAAUGCUUUAUGGCCAUAUCUGCUUUGGUGAUCUGCUUAUCACUGUAGAGCCAGUUGCUCUGUAAUAUCACCAGUUCAUGCUGUCUUCCAGGUGCUGACUUCACAGCAGGAGGUAGAUGAGGAGAGCUGCUCCCCUUCUGUUGAAUCCAACAACAAUCACAGCUGGGAGGACAUAGAGCAGGAGGAAGUUCUCCCCAAUCUCAAAGAGGAACAUACACAUGGUGAGGAACCACAUCAUGUGUCUCAGACCCAGAUAAGGACCACCCCAGGCCAGAGGCAGGAGUCAUUUGGAGAGUGGGCGGCGGACUGUUUAGCAUGACUCGAAACGUUGUUGGUGCAACCCUGGGCGGUGUUGCAUGGGAGGUGUUGGAGCAGUGGGAUCUGCGGUUGCAAGUAAAGUCACACCAAGGAAGAAGGACAAAGCUGACUGAUGUGUGAUGGGUUGUGUGUGUGUGUGUGUGUGUGUGUGUGUGUGUGUGUGUGUGUGUGUGUGUGUGUGUGUGUAUAAUGCAACAAAAUACCUCAGAAGCUUUGAAUGGAUCUUCAUGUCAUCAUUAAUUUUCUCAUUACAUUUAUUUAUUCAUGAGGACAACACUAAUUAAUCCAUAUUAGUGGAAAUAUACCAGUAUUUGCCAGUUGACAGAUUUUCAAAUGUGGUUUUAACUGCAGAUGUUUUGAUAACCAGUACCUUAUUUGCCCAGAUGUUGCCAGGAGCAAUACUUUGGUGAUAAAUCCAAAAAACAAAGACAAAAACUACAAAAACGGCAUAAAUGACAGAAAUAUCACAAAGUGAGAUUUGACAAGACAAAACCCAUCCACAGCUGUACAAAACCACAGAACAUUAAAACAGUGAUACAACUUCAACAAAUACCAACACAAACAACAGACAACCCUGGCAAAAGGCAGAAGACAAGUUCGCUACAGGUAGGAUGACAAGAGCAGUUACAAAUAAUCAAAUUAUGUAUUUUAGCUGUGCAUUCAUGCUACAAAGAUACGAAUCAAGUGAAACAAGUAUUCAAUACUGGAGAGUAGGGAAAGGUAUAACUGCAUGUAAAUGUGCCAUAGUGCAAGUCAUCGACACAUGUUUAAAGGGGACAUAUUAUGCCCAUUUUACCACAGUUGAUAUGGUUCCUCGGGGUCUUAAUGAAAUGUCUUUAACAUAUUUUGGUCGAAAUACCUAAAGGAUCAAUCAAAACAGCACCCUUUUUACCCUUGCUAAAACAACCCUCCUCAGAUUGACCUGUUUUGAGUGCCCCCCCGGCCGGGGGGAGCCUCUAGAGAGCUCCCACUGCUCUCGAGCCCGGCUCCCGGCUAGCAUUAGCUCGCGAGCUAACCGGGCCAGUGGAGCCCGGCUAGCGUUAGCUCGGGACGCUCGCCCAAGGCCAUGUAGUGAGACUCCCUACAUGGGCAUGGUGUGACUAUGACGUUUAUUUCAGUCGUAAUCCCAUUCGACGCACUCUAGCGUAUCGUUUCUGACAAAGAGGAACCACAACAAAUCGCGGGAGUUGUUUUUUUCCAGAGUUUUUGGGAAGUUAGACAUGCCAGAUACCCAAAUUAACGUGUAGAAGCACUACAAAAGUGGAAUUUUCAUAAUAUGUCCCUUUUAAAAGCUCAAGAUUAAGUGAGAGCUUCACACAGCCGUAACAUUUUCCCUCAACUCGAUAGGAUCCAAGUACAGUGUUGCACGUAUGUUACUAAGGAGUCUGUGUACAGCUCAGUUUUACUUUGGUUGUACUUGCUGUUACAUGGUCUGAACACAUUUACCUACACUGUGCACACAUUAAUCAGACAUACUGACCCUGUUCAAGACUGGUAUUAACAUCACUACCCAAACCCUAACCCUCUGACAAUCAAAGUGGACAGCUGUGAGUGCAAGUGUCAAAACCCCCAACACUCACUGAUGACCAUUUGGAGGUGGCCACAUUGUUUGAGCAGUAUGUACGCAAAUGUGUGAAGGCCAAAUUGAAAGACCGCCUGCUCAGCUGGCGUCUUUUGACCCAAUAAAGUUUCAAUUUUCUUCAUGUCUCUCUCACAAAUAUAAACACACGGAAAACCGAUCUUCCUGUCAUCGUCAGACUGGAUGUUUGCACGAAAAUUUAUUCGAUUUUUCUUGUAGCACCUGUAAAGAUAGAUUGAAGAAUAAUGUUAUCUGCUGGAAACUCUUGAGUUGUGUCAUUACAUCAACAAACUGAAAAAAAGAACAGAGCAACACUAUUUAAAAUGAGGUUUGAAAGUAUCCAACAGCAGACACUUAGUAAAGUGUAUGAUACCAUGAAGUAAAGUUAGACUCUAUAUCAGAAGUACAUUUUAGGUCAUAGACAAACAAAAAUAAUUAAUACAAUUUGUAUUUCUGGAUCUUCUGUUAAAUGUACUCGGUUCUUCCUUGGUUCAUGCCCCAUCCCCUCGAAAAACAAAUGCUGAUGAAACUACCUGGUGGUGAUAAAAAGAUAAAACAUAAUUUGGGCUAAAUAUAAAAGCAAAUGUAUGUUGCACAAUGUUGCAAUGUUGUGUUUUUGUUAAGUGCACACACACACACACACACACACACACGCACAUACAUACUUAUUUGAUUAAAAAAUACCCCCACCAAUGUUAAAAAAAAUGUAUGCUACAGUAAACUACUGAAUCUGAAAAAAACAUGCUACUGCUGAAUAUGUUUGGUUUUACUGUGUUCAUUCACAGGUUAAACAGUUGGUUGCUCUCCACAUUAUAAAUGAAAUCUUGUAAUGCAAACAACACUAAAAAAUUAUAAUAUUUGCCAGAAACAACAGCAAUAUCACAUCUCAAAGUGUAAAUGCAAUAUGUACAUUUGAAAUUUAAAUUUGUGUGGACUUUGUGGACCUGAGCAAUAACACUUCAUUAAUGUGUCCGUGAUUUUCUGGAGCUUUGAUUAGUUAGUGUUAGUUAUGAGUCAGUGCUAAUUUCAUUAAGCCCCAAUUCAUUAAUUCCAUUUGUUUGCGUAACUGAAAAUCUUAAAACGAACAUAGUGGCGCCAGUGAACAUGCAAAACAAAAACUUGUUAGUACAACGAUUCUUCAUCUAGGGGGAAAGCAUUUCAGUUGUAAAUGAAUAAUUAAUAUUUGUAUAGGUUUGAAAUUAUGUCUUUCCUGGACAUUACUAUUUCCUUAUAUUUACUUUCCAGAAUACAGCAAACAAACUGAAGCACUGCUUCCAGCACUGAGAGACAAGUGAAUGUUGAACUACUAUUGGUCAGGUGGCUUCAAGCAACACUUCACUGUGAUGAUGUGGCUCUGUAUCUUCUGGGUGUUUGUCUGGGUGUUUAAUGAGCUGACAGAAUAUCACAGCUGUAUUUUUGCAAAAUAAAAAUUGUCACAUUUAGUGAACGGAGGAGUUAUGAAGAAGACAUAACACACCUGCAAAAUUGAGUAUGGAGACCGAACUAUGUUGGCAUUUGUUUGAAUUUUGUAAUUGCACUGUUUCUGUGAAGCUACAUUUCUAUAAGUGAGUGGAAAUUCUUUUGCAUUUGCUGCAUGCCUAAAAGCAGUGUUUUACACAAUCGGCUGUUCACUCUUUUACUUUUAGCCUGAUACCCUCCAUUCCUCUUUCUGAUGGUUUGUAACCCUGAGACUUUUCAGACCAAGCAAUUUUAUGUAUUAUAGAAUUAUUUUUGCAGAUGUGAUUAGACUGUAAACUGUAAAUAAAAACAGCAGUGUUUUCUUUCA